GAUGAAGAACGUAGCGAAAUGCGAUAAGUAAUGCGAAUUGCAGAAUUCAGUGAGUCAUCGAAUCUUUGAACGCACAUUGCGCCCUGUGGUAUUCCGCAGGGCAUGCCUGUUCGAGCGUCAUUUCAACCCUCAAACUCUGCUUGGUGUUGGGCCCUGCCCGCUGCGGCCGGCCCUAAAGACAGUGGCGGUGCCGCCUGGCCCUGAGCGUAGUACAUCUCUCGCUCCAGUGCCCGGUGGUAGCCUGCCAGAACCCCAACUCUCGUGGUUGACCUCGGAUCAGGUAGGGAUACCCGCUGAACUUAAGCAUAUCAAUAAGCGGAGGA
RNAcentral lists this unclassified non-coding RNA (323 nucleotides) under soil metagenome. Its description in RNAcentral is "partial contains 5.8S ribosomal RNA, internal transcribed spacer 2, and large subunit ribosomal RNA". The stretch from base 1 to 120 matches the Rfam family "5.8S ribosomal RNA", at positions 35 to 154 of the family's 154-position model. The record is from RNAcentral.